This 388-nucleotide ribosomal RNA is filed under the name uncultured bacterium. RNAcentral describes it as "bacterial SSU rRNA". It matches the Rfam family "Bacterial small subunit ribosomal RNA", at positions 28 to 417 of the family's 1533-position model. The record is from RNAcentral.
GACGAACGCUGGCGGCGUGCUUAACACAUGCAAGUCGAGCGGAGAGGCCCUUUUGGGGGUACUCGAGCGGCGAACGGGUGAGUAACACGUGAGUAAUCUGCCCUUCACUCUGGGAUAACUGCCUGAAAGGGUGGCUAAUACUGGAUGCGACCAACUGCUGCAUGGUGUGUUGGUGGAAAGCGUUUAGUGGUGGGGGAUGUGCUCGCGGCCUAUCAGCUUGNGGUGGGGUAAUGGCCUACCAAGGCUUUGACGGGUAGCCGGCCUGAGAGGGUGACCGGCCACACUGGGACUGAGACACUGCCCAGACUCCUACGGGAGGCUGCAGUCGAGAAUCUUCGGCAAUGGGCGCAAGCCUGACCGAGCGACGCCGCGUGGAGGAUGAAGGCCU